RNAcentral lists this long non-coding RNA (345 nucleotides) under Equus asinus (donkey). RNAcentral describes it as "lncRNA (ENSEASG00005024136.1)". Lineage: Eukaryota; Metazoa; Chordata; Mammalia; Perissodactyla; Equidae. The record is from RNAcentral.
GUGAAAUUUGAAAAGAGCUUGGAAGUUCUGUACUAUUUCCAGAAUGCACCGCCUCUUUACUUGGGCCUCGAUUACGAAAUGUAUGCUGUAAAUACUGAACAUCCUAGGAAAUGACAUCAGACUCUUCUGCAAUCCCUUCCGCACACCACUCUCGGGGAUCCCACGAAGAAUCGAGACUUGCCAGCUGGAGGCGCAGUGCUGGCUGGGGCAGGAGCAGACCCAGGCCUGAUAAAGGACAGGAAUCCUGAGGGCGUGGAUACGAAGAGCAGGCCCGAGUUCCAUCAAGCAUUCAGAAACUGCUGAGGAGGAUGGAGACAGGUUCCAAGUUCAAAGAGCAAAAAAUUU